AUCAGAUUUUUUUGAUAAGUAUUGUCUGGCUAUCACUUAUCUAAAAAUUGCAGAUUUUCAGAUAAGUUUUAUGCCCCUCAGAGAAUGAACCCUAAAUUCAAAAUAAAUUCAUCGUCAAAAGCCUAUGAAUUCUGGCGGCCUCUUUCCAACCAAAAAAACAAAAGAAGAAAGAGAAGCCUAUGAACGAGACAUGGUGCCUUCGUUCCAAAUAUUUUUCGAGCCAGGUUAAUUGAAGCAUCUCUUUCCAUAAUUAUUUGUCCAACCGACAAGAAUCUUUCUUCCGCAUAGACCGUGAAUUCUCUGGAGUCUGAUUUUCCAAUUGCGUAAUUGGGAAUUGUAUAGGCCCGUAGGGCUAUGGAGGGUGAGAUCUUCCAACGCAAUCUUAGCCGCCGGAUCCGUCUCAUCAUUUAGGAUUCGCAUAAAAGCAUGAGACGAAAGCGUUAAGACUCUGCUUCCGUUAGUCGGACCUGAAAUCGCUAUUCAAGCGAAUUGCGAAAGGGCUCCGUCUCAUUGUCUUCGAGCAAGAGAGGAAAGGCGUGGGGGAGGGAGAGGCACCCGCGGCGCGACAGAGAGAGCCACUGUGGUGACCCUGCAUCCCGAUCUCGCUCUCCGUCGAGUCCGUCGAAGCGAGAGAUUAAGAGAGGCCCGGGCAUCUCCCCGAUCUUGGAAUCCCCGGGUUAUUUCCUUCGCACAUCCAUUGCGACCUCGCCCCCUUCCAUCGGGCGCUCGGCAGCAGCUCCGCGUCGACUCUCCCGAGUCACGAAAUUUCUUCACCCGAAUCCUGUCAGGACCACGUACUUGUGGGUAGAUAUUCUUCAAUUUGUGCUUUUUGCGGUUGCCGUUGAUCUCUUCCAAUAAGAUUUUUUUUUUGGAGGAGACGUCGUUCCCUGCCCGUUGAUCACAAUCAGAAGGUCGUCGUUUCUUAGGGAACCUGCACCCGAGCGAGCCGCUUCUAGAAGCCUCAACUGGGAAAAAAAAAAAAGAAAAAGGAGAGCCUAUGCGGCAAGAGACGAAGAUCAGUUGCAUCAAGUAUAACACCGAACAACCUAUGGAUCAAAUCAUCGCAUGCAACGUACAUUAACUGUCACACGUGCAAAGAUAUUCCCCACAGAUGGAGACGGUUGGCGAUUCGCGCAACCAGCUGAUCUGCAGCCUAAAAAGGAGACCUUCUAGACGGCCUUGCUCGCAAGGAUCGGAGGAAUGCGCCCGCUUUUAAUUCGUACCAUCCUUCGCUGUCUCUGCACACGCCUUCAUUUUCACUUUGCCUUUCUUACCCCCAGCUCCUCGUUCUCGGAUCAGCCAGAUAGAAAAUCUACACCGCCAUAUUCCACGCAGCUGGACUUUAUGAUUCGUGUCUCCAAUUUUAGGACUUCCGCUUUAUUUCGGAGCUUAUCCGCCUCCGCUUCUUUCUCCGCUCCCCGUUUUAAUUCCAGCUUUCAGAUUCAUAGUAACCUUAUCUCCCCCGUGCCCACUCCGCGACCGACACGUGUUGGGACGAGCGGUGGAAGCGCCAUCUGGGGAACCUUCUGGAAAAAAAACGCCCGGGGGGGAGCUUCUCGCGCUUUCCUUCCGUUUCCUCCCUUUUUGGUUGUUUGGAUGGCUUUCGGUUCCGCGUCGCCUUCGUGGUUCCCCACUGCCCUCUGUUUCUCUCUUCUCCCAUCCUCCUCUUCCUCCCCUCUCCUCUCUUCUUCCCCUCUCCCAACUCCUGCCUUCUAAUAUAACCCUCACCGAACCUUCUAGAAUCUUCAAAUCCCGAAACUACCCCACGCCUUCCCCUCCCCUCUCCAAAAACUUCCUUCUUUAGGAAAAUAAAUUCAUCUUGAGAUCUCCGCUAUGUUCCCUUUUCCAGGAAGGUUUCAGAAAAGGAGGGUUUGGGCUUGGCUUUAGAUCUCGGAAGAGAUCGCCAGAUCGGCGUUGAGUGGCGAUGGCUCCUCCUCCUGCACAGGUGGAGGGUGAACAGCCGACGCCGGCGACGGUGGCGCCGGCGGCGGCGGACGGGCAGAGGUCGAUGCCCACGCCAUUCCUGACGAAGACGUACCAGCUGGUGGACGAUCCGACCACAGACGACGUGAUCUCGUGGAACGAGGACGGGAGCACCUUCAUCGUCUGGCGACCGGCCGAGUUCGCCCGGGAUCUUCUUCCUAAAUACUUCAAGCACAACAACUUCUCCAGCUUCGUCCGCCAGCUUAAUACCUACGGAUUUCGGAAGAUCGUGCCGGAUAGAUGGGAGUUCGCGAACGAGUGCUUUAAAAGAGGAGAGAAGCGGCUUUUGUGCGACAUUCACCGCCGGAAAAUCACUCCCGCGCCGGUCCAGGCGGCAAUCCCGAUGGCGGUCCCGGUAAACCGGGGCGGUUCGCCGGAGAACUCGGGCGACGAGCAGGUCUUCUCCUCGAACUCCUCCCCUGGAGGAGGACAGCAGCCGGCGGCGGUGGGGCGGGCCUUGCCGCUGGGGUGCAGCAGCGCGGCGGAGUUGAUGGAAGAGAACGAGCGGCUCCGGAGGGAGAACAAGCAGCUCUCGCACGAGCUCGGGCAGAUGAAGAAUCUCUGCAACAACAUCGUCCUCCUCAUGUCCAAAUACGCUUCCAGCCAGCAGCAGGGCGGCGCCACCGCCGCCGAUCGUGGCGGAGGCGGGUCAUCGCUGGAGGUGGCGACGUCGCUGGAGCCGAUGCCGGAGAGGUGGUCGCAGGAGGCGUCGGGCCCCUCCCCGAGGCUCUUCGGCGUCCCGAUCCGGCUGAAGCGCUCCCGAGGCUCCGAUGCCGAAGGGCCGCAGCAGUCAGCCCCGGAUGUGAAACCUGAGCCGUUGGAUCCGGGAGCCGAUCCGCAAGACUUGUCGUCGGACCACCGCGGAUCAUGGCUCCUUUGCUGCCCUCGUCCGAACCAGCGGGUGUGUGCGACGGAUAGCAGGAGCACGUGAUCGAAGGUCUCCAUUACGUCCUUGGCGGGCCACCUGGCUCAGAAGCCUACAGAACUUCCUAGAAUUUUCUUUCUUUCAUGUAGAAUCAUAAUCUGAAAAAAAAAAAAAAAAAAAAAACCCGAAAGUGCAUGAUAAAGUGCCGCUGCUGUCGCGCUAAUGGAAGGGUUAACGCCGUCCUUUUCGCAGCUGAUCAUUUUUUUUAUUUUAUUUUUUUAACAAUGUAGCUGUUCUUGGAUUGUCGGCGUCGCUCUCUUCCUUCCCCCAUUCCACCCUCUCUCUCUAAGAGGUGACCAAUUGUAGGUUGAUGCGCUAGGUCGUAGGCGGACCGUCUGAUCAACAGCGGUAAUGAGGACAUGUUAGUGACGUGAUGAUGGAAAAUGGGUCCAGGUGUGGGCCCAUCGUGGAACCAGGAAAAGUAAAGGCAACUCGAGAAAAAUGACUUGAGAUGGUCACGCGAACGUCUUCCACCGGUCACCUGGGGCACAAUUCAAAGGGAUCGAUGAGUGAAAUUUUUGACUUUACCUAUGCAUUUUCGAAAUAAGAAAGAAAGGUUCGGAGGGACAUGAGGCAUUUCCGGGACCAGGAUGUGAGAUAUCUGUCUUUUCUUGAUACUCCCGUUGUUGGCUUGCACGUCUAUAUUAUUAUUGGCCUCUUUU
Molecule: non-coding RNA, 3570 nt
Organism: Phoenix dactylifera (date palm)
Lineage: Eukaryota; Viridiplantae; Streptophyta; Magnoliopsida; Arecales; Arecaceae
Source: RefSeq, a predicted model, not a curated record